UGCCGCGUGUGUGAAGAAGGCCUUAUGGUUGUAAAGCACUUAAAGCGAGGAGGAGGCUACUUAGAUUAAUACCUAGAGAUAGUGGACGUUACUCGCAGAAUAAGCACCGGCUAACUCUGUGCCAGCAGCCGCGGUAAUACAGAGGGUGCAAGCGUUAAUCGGAUUUACUGGGCGUAAAGCGCGCGUAGGCGGCUAAUUAAGUCAAAUGUGAAAUCCCCGAGCUUAACUUGGGAAUUGCAUUCGAUACUGGUUAGCUAGAGUGUGGGAGAGGAUGGUAGAAUUCCAGGUGUAGCGGUGAAAUGCGUAGAGAUCUGGAGGAAUACCGAUGGCGAAGGCAGCCAUCUGGCCUAACACUGACGCUGAGGUGCGAAAGCAUGGGGAGCAAACAGGAUUAGAUACCCUGGUAGUCCAUGCCGUAAACGAUGUCUACUAGCCGUUGGGGCCUUUGAGGCUUUAGUGGCGCAGCUAACGCGAUAAGUAGACCGCCUGGGGAGUACGGUCGCAAGACUAAAACUCAAAUGAAUUGACGGGGGCCCGCACAAGCGGUGGAGCAUGUGGUUUAAUUCGAUGCAACGCGAAGAACCUUACCUGGGC
Molecule: ribosomal RNA, 594 nt
Filed under: uncultured bacterium
Lineage: Bacteria
Description: bacterial SSU rRNA
Rfam family: Bacterial small subunit ribosomal RNA
Source: RNAcentral